Molecule: ribosomal RNA, 450 nt
Filed under: Triticum aestivum (bread wheat)
Lineage: Eukaryota; Viridiplantae; Streptophyta; Magnoliopsida; Poales; Poaceae
Description: partial small subunit ribosomal RNA
Source: RNAcentral
AUGAUAACCAUGAAACUUGUCAUCAUGAUUUUAAUUUUCAAUUGGAUUAUGCUUCACAUGAUAGUUAUUUUUGUUGAGUUUGCUCCCACCACUAUUUCGAAUGAGAAGAAAUUUGCUUAUGUGGAGAGUAAUAAAAUUUCAAUGCUUGUAGAUCAUGAAAAGAAUGCUUUAUGUGCUGGUUAUAUUGUUGAAUUCAUUCAUGAUGCUACUGAGAAUUAUUAUGAGGGAGGAACAUUUGCUUGUAGGAAUUGCAAUAAUAUCAAGUUUCCUCGCUAUGUGCUUAAAGUUUUAAAGUUAUGCUUGUUUUGCCUUCCUAUGCUAGUUGAUUAUUGUUCUCAUAAGUUGUUUGCUCACAAAAUCCCUAUGCAUAGGAAGCGGGUUAGACUUAAGUAUGCUAGUCAUAUUCAUCAUGAUGCUCUCUUUAUGUUUCAAUUCUUAUCUUUUAUGUGA